This 427-nucleotide ribosomal RNA is filed under the name uncultured bacterium. RNAcentral describes it as "partial 16S ribosomal RNA". It matches the Rfam family "Bacterial small subunit ribosomal RNA", at positions 355 to 774 of the family's 1533-position model. The record is from RNAcentral.
UGGGGAAUAUUGCACAAUGGGCGCAAGCCUGAUGCAGCCAUGCCGCGUGUAUGAAGAAGGCCUUCGGGUUGUAAAGUACUUUCAGCGGGGAGGAAGGUGUUGAGGUUAAUAACCUCAGCAAUUGACGUUACCCGCAGAAGAAGCACCGGCUAACUCCGUGCCAGCAGCCGCGGUAAUACGGAGGGUGCAAGCGUUAAUCGGAAUUACUGGGCGUAAAGCGCACGCAGGCGGUCAGUCAAGUCGGAUGUGAAAUCCCCGGGCUCAACCUGGGAACUGCAUUCGAAACUGGCAGGCUAGAGUCUUGUAGAGGGGGGUAGAAUUCCAGGUGUAGCGGUGAAAUGCGUAGAGAUCUGGAGGAAUACCGGUGGCGAAGGCGGCCCCCUGGACAAAGACUGACGCUCAGGUGCGAAAGCGUGGGGAGCAAACA